Pundamilia nyererei is the source of this 368-nucleotide long non-coding RNA. RefSeq lists it as uncharacterized. NCBI's taxonomy places the organism in Eukaryota, Metazoa, Chordata, Actinopteri, Cichliformes, Cichlidae. The record is from RefSeq and is a predicted model, not a curated record. The transcript has 3 exons.
CGUAACAACAAACGAAAGCUGAAGUAAUAAAACACGCUGUGAUUGGCUCUGGAGGACCGUUUCUGCAGUUCAGGCUGAAGAAGAGCCGAGGCACACCUGUGUGUGAAGAACAGGUGUGUUAGAGACCUCGGCACAGAUGUGAAGAAGAGCAGCUAAGAUGAGAGCUCCGGUGUUCCAGAUCUACUGGCGUUUAGAUCAACUGGCGUUGGUCGAACAGAUGUGUGGCAGACUUGCGUUUCAGGAGCUGCUACCGACAAACCAGCAAAAAAACGCCAAAUGUGUCACCUGUGACACUUGUGAGGUUGUCUCAAACACACUCCGUCAGUCUUGAUGCUGUUGAACAACAAAAUGUUUAAAAUGUGGCGGGA